Gorilla gorilla gorilla (western lowland gorilla) is the source of this 101-nucleotide unclassified non-coding RNA. It matches the Rfam family "Y RNA". From Rfam's summary of the family: Y RNAs are components of the Ro ribonucleoprotein particle (Ro RNP), in association with Ro60 and La proteins. The Y RNAs and Ro60 and La proteins are well conserved, but the function of the Ro RNP is not known. The record is from Ensembl. NCBI's taxonomy places the organism in Eukaryota, Metazoa, Chordata, Mammalia, Primates, Hominidae.
GGCUGGUCCAAGGGCAAUGGUGUUUACAACUAAUCGAUCACAACCAGUUACAGAUUUAUUUGUUUCUUCUCCACUCCCACUUUUCUCCUGACAAGCCUUUA